AAAAUCAUCACUAGGCUCAUUCCCAAAGUAAUGCCUCGCCCUCACAGCUAAGUGGAAACCAAACCAGCCACCAGAGAAAUGGAAGUUAGGCCAUUGUAUCAGUCAGGAUAUUCUUUUAAAUAACCAGAGGGCUUUGUUGUCUCUUAGAAUUGGAAUGUCAAGUGGGAAGAUAAGUUUCAGGGGCUGUUUGAUUGAGCAACCCAAAAAUGUCAUUAAGAAAAGAUCCGGCUUCUUUCCAUCUCUCCACUCUACUUUUUACAGGUCAAUGAAUCCAAGUUGUUUUUGUUUUGUUUUGUUUUCAUUAUGACAAAAUGGUGGCAGCCAUUCUAGACUGACACGCCACAGCAGCUGGAAGAAAGACACGAUCUUUUCCUCUGAUGCCUCUCUCAGAAGCAUUCCAGUUUAUGUCUUCCUCUUGCCUAUUUGAGGACUAAAGUCAAAAUGUCUAUACCAUCCUGUACAGCCACAUAUGGGUCUUGAGCACUUGAAAAGUGACUGGUCCAGCUUCACAUGUGCUGUUCACACAGAAUGGGACCCUAGCGAUAUGAAAGUCAAGAAAAAGUAAGGAGUAUCAUUAGAGGAAAGUAAAUGCUGGACCUC
RNAcentral lists this long non-coding RNA (600 nucleotides) under Homo sapiens (human). Its description in RNAcentral is "HSALNT0393548". Lineage: Eukaryota; Metazoa; Chordata; Mammalia; Primates; Hominidae. The record is from RNAcentral.